RNAcentral lists this long non-coding RNA (936 nucleotides) under Setaria italica (foxtail millet). RNAcentral describes it as "long non-coding RNA (SITA_LNC000145)". The record is from RNAcentral. Lineage: Eukaryota; Viridiplantae; Streptophyta; Magnoliopsida; Poales; Poaceae.
GCUGAUAAGACGGCUGAAUAAGCUGAAGCGGACAUAGGAUAAAGAAGAGCACACAGGCCUCCGGCUCGCCACCUUCCUCUUGGGCGGCACGCCAUGGUGCCACUCCGCGUCCUCCCCCGUCGUCGUCCACGCCGCGCGUGACCCGCCGUCCCGCGACCACGUCCCAGUCCCGGCGGCGGCGCCCUCAGCGUCGCGCCCCACCUGAUCCACCCCACCAUCCUCGCCGACGACGCCACCGACCCCGCCGUCCAGCGCACGGUCUACGACGUCACGGUCAUCUUCCGCGCCACCGCCCGCCUCGGCCCGACCCGCCUCCAGUACUUCGUCGUCCCCGCCGCCGCCGCCGCCCCGAACUCCGGCGGCGCUGACAGGGAGCUCGAUGCCGUGGACCUGUUCCUGAUUCUUCCUGGGUCUUUUUUUGGGCGCCUUCGUCGGCGCAAUGGUCGGCGUCGUCUUCGUCCACAAGGGACGCCGCCUCGGUGAAGACAAGGACGGCGAGUCCUCCGGCGACGGCGCCUUCCUGAUCAAGAACCCCGAGGCCGCCCGCGCCCAGGCCGGCGUCGCCAAGGCGGCCCGCGGCGGCAACUGAGAGGCCGGGCGCCGGCCAAGCACGGCGUACGGCGCUCCGUUCUGCUGACUACUAGUGUCUAGUAGUAUACUCUGGUGUUGAUCGCACCUCGUAGUCUUCUCGCUACUGCAUGCUAGAUUGCUAGUAGAGCUACCGUAUCCCGUAGUAGCUAAGCUCGAUGGUUUGCUUAACUCGAUCGCUCACACGCUUGGCACCCUAGCUCUUUCGUGCGUGGUGUAAAGAUGAGCUUGCCUGAUUUCUUCCAAAUUCCCACACAAUGAGAGCUCAUUAUUUGAGUUGCCGAAUCCAACUGCCAUGCAUAAUUCGGUGAAAUUGCCAAGACCUCUCCCAAGUCUCAUCCGGGCGGC